RNAcentral lists this long non-coding RNA (1025 nucleotides) under Marmota monax (woodchuck). Lineage: Eukaryota; Metazoa; Chordata; Mammalia; Rodentia; Sciuridae. The record is from RNAcentral.
CUGAAAUGAAUCUGCCACCCUGGAGGUUCGGGCCUGCUGCCCUGGAAAUGGGAGAGAAAAGAAUGUGUUCUUCUGACUUUAAGUAAACAAACAACUCCGACUCCCAUAAACCCCAACAGCCUGCAGUCUCCACAGAGGCAGGAUCAACCCAAGGUCACUCCCCCUGGCUUCCAAGGGAGGCCAGGGACCAUGGCUGAGCAGGCAGGAAAUUGCUAUGUUCAGAUUACAUAACCCAAAAAGAGUUUUUAAAAAGGGACAGUGCUAACAAAGACACCAGUGGCACUGGGGGAAGCCACGAGGUCCCCUUUUUAGCCAGGGUUCUCUGGGGAAAUAAGACCAAUGGGAUGUGUACAUAGAAAGAAAGGAUUUGUCUUAGGGAAUUGGUUUUCAGGGUGAAAGAGGCUAGCAAGUCCAAAUCUGCUGGGUGGGCUGUAAGCUAGAGACUCAGAGAAGAGCUGAUAUUAUAGUUGAAGUCUUAGGACCACCUCCCUGAUUAGAGAAGGCCAGUCUUUUGAUGCAUUCAGGUCUUCACCUGAUUGGAUUAGGCCCACCCACACUAGGAGGACAAUCUGUUUUACUCAAAAUCCACUGACUGAAGUGUUACCCCCAUCAAAACACCCUCAUGAUAACUAAUGUGUUAAUAAAAGAAAAAUAAAACUUCACAGAAACUUCCAGAAUGAUGAUGGACCGUGUAUCUGGACACCACAGCUGAGUCAAGUUGCCACGUAGAAUAAAUAUCACAGUAACUCAGGGCUAGUGGCAGACAGGAGUCAUUAUUCUCUGAGACCUGAGACCUGAGAUGGAGCUGUGUAGAGAAGCCCCCUUUCAGCAGCCAAACUAAAGAAUUAAUUCCUAGUCUUCCUUCUCUUCCCUCCCUCAAUAUCCUGCUGGGUCCAACUGAAACCUGGAGGGCAACGGGGCUGCAGCUGGGGUCCCCUAAAAUAGCCUCCAGAGGCCCACAGCUGCUGGGGAAGAAAGGAGAAUGGGUGCUGACAGACACGUGGAUGCACAGCACAGGAUCCCAG